CUUUUGUGUCCUAAAAAGCAGAGGAUAACGUUCUAGCCAAGAAAAUUUUAGGGGUGCCUGGUGGCUCAGUUGGUUAAGCCUCUGACUUGGGUUUAGGUCAUGAUCUUGUGAUUCAUAGGUUCAAGCCCUGUGGUGGGCUCUGUGGUAAUAGCUCAGAGCCUGGAGCCUGCUUCAUGCAUUCUGUGUCUCCCUCUCUCUCUGCCCCUCCCCUGCUCGUACUCUUUCUCUCUCUCUCAAAAAUAAGUAAAACAUUAAACAAAUUUUUAAAAAUACAAAAAAUAAAAUUUUUAAGAGCAGGCAUUAUCAGUCAAGCCUCUAAUAUUAAAAAUGUCUAACGUGUCUACAAUUGUCUGAAAAAUAUAUCCCCAAGACACCGAAUGGAGUUAAUUUAAUAAUACUAUGUCAAUAUAUAAAAUUGAGUGUUGAAAAAUAUCUUGCAAAAAUAAGGGCUUUGCCAUAAUUUCUAUCAAACUAUUUUUUUUUCUGAGAAUAAUUUUACAGUACAUUUAUCUCUUUUAUGCUUUUCCACUCGUUUGAGCAAUACAGAAUCAAAAUUUUAACAAUAUAUAGAUCACCAAAGGUACUAUCACACCAACCUGGGAGAAAAAAACAUGGGGCUGUAGUAAGAGUUGCACACAGUUCUUUUCUGUGCUUCCUGUAUUUAUCUAUUGUGUCUGCCCCAAAUAUGUCUUUCUGCAAGCCUGAGGUUGGUACAGCUCUGCUAGCUAAUGUCCUAUUACAUUCUGCCAAAAGGAGUCACUAGAGGGAGUUUAGAAACAAGGGAGGGGGAGGGGAAGGGCAGAAAGAACCUUCCUCUUCUUUCUUAUUUUAUCUUUCAGCACUGCCCAGCCAAAGUGACUGUUUAUUCUCACUUCGUUUGGCACCUCUAGGACAAGAUUCAUCAUUUGCCUUAGAGAAACCAGCACCAGCCAAGUGGAUGCCCCUGAUCAGAGGUACAGUGGAAAGAACAGAACAUUUCAUCUUUCAAGGGAGAACAUUUCAGGUACAGUCUGUGAAGAGAUGUUUAUUAAAAAAAAAAAAAAAAAAAAAAAAGGAUUUGGCCUUUGAACUCCCUGGCAAACAAGUGGAUUUUACUGACUCUGCGGUAUUAGGGGACGCACAGGCACACUGGGUGGUAUUUUUUAAAUUUCUUUUCAGAAGAGCCCCUUUUCUUUUGCUGACUCCAUAUUGUCAGUUCCGAGAAGAGAGUGCCAAGGUCCAAGUCGAAGGGGCAGUGUCUUUCCAGGAUCUAACAAGCUCAGGUACCAGAAGGACUGGGGCAUGAUCAUCCCUCCCUCCCAAGUGAAAAAAGACAAGAAAGGGGGAAAUUAGAAAAUCAGGGAAUAGGCUGUAUUCUUCAGGGUUCAGAGUUCAGGUCUAAAUUGAAAAUCACCUCCACCCCUUAAAGUUGUGUCGUCUUGGCCAAGGUGCUCUGCCUCUCCGACUCCUCAACUAUUAAACGAAGACACCAAUCCCUUCCUCACAGACACCAUUUGAAGGAGAAGCCUAUAGAAUGGGCUCAGCCGAAUCUGCAACGGAGCUCGGUAGACAGAUUCCCGGGCCCACUCAAUGCAACUUCGCCAAGCAGCAGCCUGGGAAAACCAGCGCCCUAGAUGAGUCUUCAGUUUGGGAAACGCUGAGGUGACACGGAAAGUACUUAGAGUAAGACUAACAAUCAGUGGUGGAGAGGUUCCGCCCAUUUGACAGGAACCCCUCUAUCAGCGCGCGGAGAAACCCACUGGCCAGCAGGGGCUCGGAAGGGUCACCCGCGUGUCUCCCCCCCAUCCCCCCCAGCCCCCGGGGAGGGUACUGCCCUCGCCGAUCUUCGCUCCCGGACGCGCCCUCGCAGCUUUCCCAGCCCCGCCGGCCCGGGAGCCUCGCGGCCAAGGUGCGCCAGGUGGCGAGGGUGCCAGGCGCGGCCUGGCCUCGGCGGACUGAGUCAGCCGCCCAGCUAUGCUGCGGAACCAGGGCUGCCGGCUCGACCGCCCCCGCCGCUGAGCGCCG
This is a long non-coding RNA of Panthera leo (lion), 2004 nucleotides long. The record is from Ensembl. NCBI's taxonomy places the organism in Eukaryota, Metazoa, Chordata, Mammalia, Carnivora, Felidae.